Molecule: ribosomal RNA, 341 nt
Filed under: Salibacterium halochares
Lineage: Bacteria; Bacillati; Bacillota; Bacilli; Caryophanales; Bacillaceae
Description: bacterial SSU rRNA
Rfam family: Bacterial small subunit ribosomal RNA
Source: RNAcentral
GGUGACGUGGCGAGCGGCUCUCUGGACUGUACUGACGCUGAGGCGCGAAAGCGUGGGGAGCGAACAGGAUUAGAUACCCUGGUAGUCCACGCCGUAAACGUUGAGUGCUAGGUGUUAGGGGUUUCGACGCCCUUAUGGCCCAAUCAAACGCAUUAAGCACUCCGCCGGGGGAGUACGACCGCAAGGUUGAAACUCAAAGGAAUUGACGGGGGCCCGCACAAGCGGUGGAGCAUGUGGUUUAAUUCAACGCAACGCGAAAAACCUUACCAGGUCUUGACAUCUUCUGAUCGCUCCAGAGAUGGAGUUUUCCCCUUCGGGGGACAGAAUGACAGGUGGUGCAU